RNAcentral lists this transfer RNA (76 nucleotides) under Clostridia bacterium. Its description in RNAcentral is "tRNA-Gln". It matches the Rfam family "tRNA". Rfam says of the family: Transfer RNA (tRNA) molecules are approximately 80 nucleotides in length. Their secondary structure includes four short double-helical elements and three loops (D, anti-codon, and T loops). Further hydrogen bonds mediate the characteristic L-shaped molecular structure. tRNAs have two regions of fundamental functional importance: the anti-codon, which is responsible for specific mRNA codon recognition, and the 3' end, to which the tRNAs corresponding amino acid is attached (by aminoacyl-tRNA synthetases). tRNAs cope with the degeneracy of the genetic code in two manners: having more than one tRNA (with a specific anti-codon) for a particular amino acid; and 'wobble' base-pairing, i.e. permitting non-standard base-pairing at the 3rd anti-codon position. Lineage: Bacteria; Bacillati; Bacillota; Clostridia. The record is from RNAcentral.
UGGGAUAUAGCCAAGUGGUAAGGCAAGGGACUUUGACUCCCUCAUCGCGCUGGUUCGAAUCCAGCUAUCCCAGCCA